Molecule: ribosomal RNA, 435 nt
Filed under: Callulina kreffti (Krefft's secret frog)
Lineage: Eukaryota; Metazoa; Chordata; Amphibia; Anura; Brevicipitidae
Description: partial 16S ribosomal RNA
Rfam family: Bacterial large subunit ribosomal RNA
Source: RNAcentral
UUAAAUGGCCGCGGUACCCUAACCGUGCGAAGGUAGCAUAAUCACUUGUUCGUUAAAUACGGACUAGUAUGAACGGCUUCACGAGGGUUUAACUGUCUCCCUACUUUAAUCAAUUAAACUGAUCUCCCCGUGAAGAAGCGGGGAUAAAUAUAUAAGACGAGAAGACCCCAUGGAGCUUUAAACCCAGAACCAACUACUAACACUUUCCAUAAAAACACUGUAUACCUGGCUUCUGGUUUUUGGUUGGGGCGACCGCGGAGCAAAACACAACCUCCAUGAUGAAUAUACAUUUUUACUAAAGAGCUACACCUCUAAAGAUCCUUAAUAUGACAUUUCUUGACCCAAGACCACUUGAGCAACGAACCUAGUUACCCUGGGGAUAACAGCGCAAUCCAUUUUGAGAGCUCCUAUCGACAAAUGGGUUUACGACCUCGA